GGGGUUGUAGCUUAGUGGUUGAGCAUUUGCCUUGCAUGCAUGAGGCGCUGGGUUCAAUCCUCAGCGCCA
Molecule: transfer RNA, 69 nt
Filed under: Ictidomys tridecemlineatus (thirteen-lined ground squirrel)
Lineage: Eukaryota; Metazoa; Chordata; Mammalia; Rodentia; Sciuridae
Description: Spermophilus tridecemlineatus (thirteen-lined ground squirrel) tRNA
Rfam family: tRNA
About the family: Transfer RNA (tRNA) molecules are approximately 80 nucleotides in length. Their secondary structure includes four short double-helical elements and three loops (D, anti-codon, and T loops). Further hydrogen bonds mediate the characteristic L-shaped molecular structure. tRNAs have two regions of fundamental functional importance: the anti-codon, which is responsible for specific mRNA codon recognition, and the 3' end, to which the tRNAs corresponding amino acid is attached (by aminoacyl-tRNA synthetases). tRNAs cope with the degeneracy of the genetic code in two manners: having more than one tRNA (with a specific anti-codon) for a particular amino acid; and 'wobble' base-pairing, i.e. permitting non-standard base-pairing at the 3rd anti-codon position.
Source: Rfam by way of RNAcentral